GCUGGGCCCAGUGGUGCCUGCCUGUAGUCCCAGCUAUUCAGGAGGCUGAGGCUGGAGGAUCUCUUGAGUCCAGGAUUUCUGGGCUAGAGUGUGCUGUGCCAGUCCGGUGACUGCAUUAAGUUCAGCAUCAAUAUGGUGACCUACCGGGAGCUGGGGGCCACCAGGUUGCCUAAGGAGGGGUGAACCGGCCCAGGUUGGAAAUGGAGCAGGUCAAAACUGCUGCGCUGAUCACGCCUGUGAAUAGCCACUGCACUCCAGCCUGGGCAACAUGGCCAGACCCUGUCUCA
This 287-nucleotide signal recognition particle RNA is filed under the name Saimiri boliviensis boliviensis (Bolivian squirrel monkey). Its description in RNAcentral is "Metazoan signal recognition particle RNA (ENSSBOG00000003645.1)". It matches the Rfam family "Metazoan signal recognition particle RNA". From Rfam's summary of the family: The signal recognition particle (SRP) is a universally conserved ribonucleoprotein. It is involved in the co-translational targeting of proteins to membranes. Lineage: Eukaryota; Metazoa; Chordata; Mammalia; Primates; Cebidae. The record is from RNAcentral.